RNAcentral lists this ribosomal RNA (380 nucleotides) under uncultured bacterium. RNAcentral describes it as "bacterial SSU rRNA". It matches the Rfam family "Bacterial small subunit ribosomal RNA", at positions 28 to 408 of the family's 1533-position model. The record is from RNAcentral.
GACGAACGCUGGCGGCGUGCUUAACACAUGCAAGUCGAGCGGUAAGGCCCUUUCGGGGGUACGACGAGCGGCGAACGGGUGAGUAACACGUGGGUGACCUGCCCUUAGCUCUGGGAUAAGCCUGGGAAACUGGGUCUAAUACCGGAUAUGACUCCAUGACGCAUGUUGUGGGGUGGAAAGCCUUGUGCGGCUAGGGAUGGGCCCGCGGCCUAUCAGCUUGUUGGUGGGGUGAUGGCCUACCAAGGCGACGACGGGUAGCCGGCCUGAGAGGGCGACCGGCCACACUGGGACUGAGACACGGCCCAGACUCCUACGGGAGGCAGCAGUGGGGAAUCUUGCGCAAUGGGCGAAAGCCUGACGCAGCGACGCCGCGUGGGGAU